RNAcentral lists this ribosomal RNA (460 nucleotides) under uncultured bacterium. RNAcentral's name for it is "partial 16S ribosomal RNA". It matches the Rfam family "Bacterial small subunit ribosomal RNA", at positions 338 to 795 of the family's 1533-position model. The record is from RNAcentral.
CCUACGGGUGGCAGCAGUGAGGAAUAUUGGUCAAUGGGCGCGAGCCUGAACCAGCCAAGUAGCGUGAAGGAUGACUGCCCUACGGGUUGUAAACUUCUUUUAUAAGGGAGUAAAGUGCGGCACGGGUGCCUUUUUGUGUGUACUUUAUGAAUAAGCAUCGGCUAACUCCGUGCCAGCAGCCGCGGUAAUACGGAGGAUCCGAGCGUUAUCCGGAUUUAUUGGGUUUAAGGGGAGCGUAGAGGGGUUGCUAAGUCAGUGGGGAAAGUUUGCGGCUCAACCGCAAAAUUGCCAUUGAGACUGGCAGGCUUGAGUACAGUUGAGGUAGGCGGAAUGCGUGGUGUAGCGGUGAAAUGCUUAGAUAUCACGAAGAACUCCGAUCGCGAAGGCAGCUUACUAACCUGCCACUGACAUUGAUGCACGAAAGUGUGGGUAUCAAACAGGAUUAGAUACCCUGGUAGUC